Molecule: ribosomal RNA, 753 nt
Filed under: uncultured bacterium
Lineage: Bacteria
Description: bacterial SSU rRNA
Rfam family: Bacterial small subunit ribosomal RNA
Source: RNAcentral
AUGGCGACCGGCGCACGGGUGAGUAACACGUAUCCACCUGCCGAUGACUCGGGGAUAGCCUUUCGAAAGAAAGAUUAAUACCCGAUGGCUCCGCAUGGUUAAAGAAUUUCGGUCAUCGAUGGGGAUGCGUUCCAUUAGGUUGUUGGCGGGGUAACGGCCCACCAAGCCUUCGAUGGAUAGGGGUUCUGAGAGGAAGGUCCCCCACAUUGGAACUGAGACACGGUCCAACUUUUACGGGAGGCAGCAGUGAGGAAUAUUGGUCAAUGGACGAGAGUCUGAACCAGCCAAGUAGCGUGAAGGAUGACUGCCUAUGGGUUGUAAACUUCUUUUAUACGGGAAUAAGUGAGGCACGUAUGCCUUUUUGUAUGUACCGUAUGAAUAAGGAUCGGCUAACUCCGUGCCAGCAGCCGCGGUAAUACGGAGGAUCCGAGCGUUAUCCGGAUUUAUUGGGUUUAAAGGGAGCGUAGGCGGACGUUUAAGUCAGUUGUGAAAGUUUGCGGCUCAACCGUAAAAUUGCAGUUGAUACUGGGUGUCUUGAGUACAGUAGAGGCAGGCGGAAUUCGUGGUGUAGCGGCGAAAUGCUUAGAUAUCACGAAGAACUCCGAUUGCGAAGGCAGCUUGCUGGACUGUAACUGACGCUGAUGCUCGAAAGUGUGGGUAUCAAACGGGAUUAGAUACCCCUGUAGUCCUGGCAGUAAACGGUGCACGCUUGGUGUCGGAACGACCCCUGCGUGCCGGAGCUAACGCGUUAAG